GCAAAAAUUGAAAGAGUGGUUGUGCAUAGUACUUGCUCGAUCUGUCACAAUGAAGAAGGCUAUUAUAAUUGCUUUUCUAAUUUUGGCUUCAACAUUUCUCUUCCUUCCCUCAUCCACUCAUGCUCGAGGAGUCCAAUUCCCAGGGAAGAAGUUGCCGCCGGUAACUGGGGGAACGCCAAUAAGGAAUAGGCCUCAUCACAGGCCUCCGUUUCGAAAGCUGCCACCAACUUUUUCAUCACCUCCACCAGCAAGGCGGAAGUAGCACUACUCAGUUAGUUUAUUUAGGGAAUAAUAUAACUUUUAGUCUCAAUUUUUUUAAUUAUUAAUUUAAUUCUUAAACUUUGAUCCUUAUGGUUUACUGAGUUAACCAAGUAUAUGGAUUGAGUUGUUACGAAUUAAUAAGAAACUGUAAGGAUUCAAUUAUUUCAAAUCAAAGUUAAAGGAUUGAAUUGAUAAUCUGAAAAAGAAAAAUUCUGAAACAAAAAAGUUAUAUUUUUCCUUAGUUUGAAUUAAUUUAAUCACACUAAUAGGUUGGAAGAGGCUCAUAUAUAUGUUGAAAUUUCUAUUUUUAAUAGCUUGCCUUGUUAAGUGCAUUUAUGUUGUAACUUUUAUUUCGCUUUCUGUUAAUUUCCAAGAAUAAUGUCUUCCAACCAACUUGUAGCCGUUGAUCAUGAAUUGUCCUUGAAAAGAACAAGCUCCCUUCUGUGUUA
This is a long non-coding RNA of Prosopis cineraria, 710 nucleotides long. RefSeq lists it as uncharacterized. NCBI's taxonomy places the organism in Eukaryota, Viridiplantae, Streptophyta, Magnoliopsida, Fabales, Fabaceae. The transcript has 2 exons. The record is from RefSeq and is a predicted model, not a curated record.